Long non-coding RNA from Pseudomyrmex gracilis, 480 nucleotides. RefSeq lists it as uncharacterized. The transcript has 3 exons. Lineage: Eukaryota; Metazoa; Arthropoda; Insecta; Hymenoptera; Formicidae. The record is from RefSeq and is a predicted model, not a curated record.
AAACGAGAUCACUCAACCUGUGUGCGAGGUGAAUAUAACCUUGGAUAUAUUUUAUCUUUGAAGAUAAAAUCUUACAAGUGAGAUCGUACGUAUCCGGAAAAUUUGAUGAAUAAAAUAUAAAAAGAUGGAAUUUGCAGGUGUUAGUUUCGUUAACACUCUUCCCGCUAACAAUGAACAAAAUCGAGAAAGUGACAUGAGAACGAGAAGAUGCUUCUUAUGCAAGGAUAAAGUAACAAAGAUGGCCGAAAAAGAAAGUUCGCUCACAAAAGCGUUAUGUCUGUACUUUAAACUUACAUAUGGUAUGGCCUUCUGCACAUUUUGUGAAACUGAUUUUCGAUAUCGUGAUUCUAGAGAUCUUCCGAUACACUUUAAAGCUCACUGUUGACGAAAGGAAUAUGAAGACAGAUGACGAAAACUAAGUGUUAACAAUCAGAUCAAAUACAAAAGACGCAUUUAUAUCUUACAAUAUAAAUAAGUCAA